Molecule: long non-coding RNA, 660 nt
Filed under: Mus pahari (shrew mouse)
Lineage: Eukaryota; Metazoa; Chordata; Mammalia; Rodentia; Muridae
Description: lncRNA (MGP_PahariEiJ_G0002321.1)
Source: RNAcentral
CCUGCUCUCAGGUCUGGGCUCCAUCCUGGCUCAUGAGACCUUACUCACUGACCAUGUUUGCCUUUACUAUUUAUUUUGACAAUAAGCUCCACCCCCAAGCCCCAGUGCUAACCUUGGCUUCCCAUUAAAAACAUCCAGAGAUUUUUCAAAAUCCUGUUGCCGAGCUGCAGAAUCCUGGCCAAAUAAGUGAGAUUGCCAGAGGUGGAUCUCAGGCUCGGGCGCUUUGAAAGGUAUUUUUAGAGAGGAGAGUCUCACCUCACAGUAUUCCGUGAUAAUGCAAAAAGUCUCCUGCUCCACAAAGCUUGCAUGGAAUCUGACAAUGGCCGGAUGAUGGAGCCUGGAGAGGAGCUGAGCUUCCAUAUUGGCCUGCACGGUCUCAUUUGGAUUUAAUUCGCCAACAGAGAUUUCCUUCAGUACCUUUCUGUGGCCAAAACCAGUAAAAAGCAAAGGAAGAAAAGAAAAAGAAAGAAAAGGAGAAAAAAGACAGAUAUCAAGAGUUGAGAAGUCUGCUUCUCUGUCGUAAGGACAUGGCACAGAACCCCUCACCAUGCCCAGAUAAUCAGCUGUUCAAGGGUCUAGUUCUACCUGCUAUGGUUCUGAGGCCCUGGGCACCUGCCUGUCGCACCCAGUACCAUGGUAUUCCACAGCCUUUGACCACCA